RNAcentral lists this long non-coding RNA (213 nucleotides) under Elaeis guineensis (African oil palm). Its description in RNAcentral is "long non-coding RNA (EGUI_LNC079017)". Lineage: Eukaryota; Viridiplantae; Streptophyta; Magnoliopsida; Arecales; Arecaceae. The record is from RNAcentral.
UCUUAGCUGCACAAGUGUCUGCCAGUAUAAGUAUCCUCUCGGGAUCAGCUUGGAAAUAAUCUAAAUUUUGAUUCUCCUAAAAUUCAGCCUGCUGAAUCUGAAUGAAAUCUGGAUCGCGAUCAAUGCUUGUCUUUCUCCUUGAUCUUUUUCUUCUCCUCUUCUCUAGACUUUUCUCCUUGUUAUGUGCUACUACAAGACACCAGCAACCAGCCA